GAUGACUCAACAUGACGGUCAGCAAGUGUGCUCUAUCGGCCUUCCCGCGCGGAACCCAUUUGAAUUAGCGCGCGAAGCCACGCCUCUGUUCGAGAGUUUUCUGCUGUUGAAUUGGGCAUGCGACGACUUUUUUGUCAGUUUCGU
Molecule: non-coding RNA, 144 nt
Organism: Caenorhabditis elegans
Lineage: Eukaryota; Metazoa; Nematoda; Chromadorea; Rhabditida; Rhabditidae
Source: Ensembl